GUCUAACUAGUUGUAGUUCAGAUCUUGCAAAAAAAGCAAGAAAAGUUUUAUCUGCUAUUAACUCUUACUCAUCAGGCUUUGGACAACUUCCUGUGAGAGUGUCUUGCAACCUUUUUGAAACUUUGGUCAAACCUAUUUUAACAUAUAAUAGUGAAAUAUGCUAUAUGGACACUUAUAUUCAAUUUUAUAGAGCUAAACUCCGAGCUAACAAAAAUAGCUCAACACCAGAUGCUAUUCAUUUUAUUGAUAAAACUGUUUUAGAAAAAACCCAGCUACAUUUUAUGAAACAAGUACUGGGGACAAAAAUAAGCUCAACAAAUCUAGCUGUUAGAAAUGAACUAGGACUUUUGCCAUUAGAAACUUUCAUAAAAACCCAAACUAUGAUGUACCUAUCUAGAUUAAAUAAUGAAAAUCUAAACCCACUUCUUAAUGAAGCCUUUAAAUUAACUAAAAGUUUAGAUACCAAGGGAACAUACUCUUGGUAUACUUUUGCAAAAAAUGUGUCACAAGAUAUAAAUAUUGACAUUAAACUUAUUGAGGAAACUAAAACUUUAAAACAGACUAAAAUGUUAAAACCCC
Molecule: long non-coding RNA, 579 nt
Filed under: Mytilus galloprovincialis (Mediterranean mussel)
Lineage: Eukaryota; Metazoa; Mollusca; Bivalvia; Mytilida; Mytilidae
Source: RNAcentral